GUCCGGACUCAGAUUGUCGAAAAAUCUCGAAGAUGUGAUCGUGGCGUCCCGCGACCGCUUCCAGCUAUUCCAGGGGACCUGGACCCGGACCGUGAAUGAGGCCUGGGCGGCCCGCCCUGCUGCGGGGUGCCCCGCUUCACCGCCAUCCGUUACGAGGAGGACGCGCUGUUCUACAGCGACGCCGCCAGUCCUAGCACAGGGCCGCGGGCGCCGCCGGUGCAGCAGGAGCUGCGAGUUUUGGGAGAACCCAAGGAUCGUCUUGAGGUUGAACGUUUUCCAGUGAAACUGAGGGCGCCACUUGGCCACUACAACCGGAGCGAGGAUGGAUGCAACCGCUGCCUUGCGUGGGACUGACACAAGAUUUUUCAAGUCUCUCCCUUGUUACUUGAAGAACCUUUGAUUUCCUUUUCUACAAAGGACAUCUGUCUUCCUGUCACUCAGUUUACCCUGUUCCAAUGGUCAUCCUUUGUCUUCUUGGUGUGAUGUCUGACACAACUCAUGCCGUUCCUUCGCCUGUAUGGAAAUUUCUAGAACAGCUGCUUUAUACACAGAGAAAGCAAUGCUCAGCACUUCCAAUAGCAUCGCUGCUGGUGGCUUGGAUCAGAACAGUGUUCAUGGUAAGAAACUGAAGAUGUGCAACCUGGACCUGUACCCCUUCUCCAUGGAGACCUGUCUGAUUGGAGAUGAGAGAAGAAGUUCCACUGCACCGAGAUUAGGCCCAUGCUUAUUCUUGGCAUUUUUAUUCACUUAAAACCAGAUAAAUCCUUUGAGUCCUGACUACUCAAACUGUGGUUGAUGGGCUAGCAGCUUAAGCUCCAUCUGGAGCACUGUAUAAAUGAGAAUUUCAGGACCAGGACCACUCUGCAGAAUCAGGAUCUGCAUUGAACAUGCUGCCCAAACCAUUUGCUACACUUACUAAAGUUUUAGAAGCACUGCUCUAGGACCAUCUUUCUCUAAGUGUAAUCCUAAAACACUCAGAGCUUUUCUUAAAAACCAAAUUUCUAGGCUCACUGCAGGACUGUAUAUGGGUCCCUGGAGGUAAAUUCUAGAAUCUGCAUUUUCAGCAAGUGCCCUUGGUUCCUGUGCGCAUGCAGAUGUAAGAAUCCAGUGCCAGAUGGAAGGAAUCAGUAGAGAUGGCUGUGGGCUGGAAUGGAACAAUGACAUUUAGGAACUGUGCACCAUGUCACAGCCCCUGCUGGAGAUCAAUACAGCAGAUCCAGUUGGUUGUGGAAAACACAGACCUCUCCCCGUGGCAAGAAUCAUAAGGAUGCAAUGACAAGAGACUAUUACAACUAGCUCUCACUGAUGGCCAGGUGAUGAAACCCAGGUUCUGAUAGUGAAAAUCCCAUGCUGGUCAGGUUCUCACAAGAGGCCACGGGAAAGCCAUGUCCAUUUCAGGAAUUCCAGCUCCACUGGGUCCCAGGUCCAUCCAGGCCAAAGAAUGAGACUGUUUGCCACAGAAGAAUCUUGCAAAGUUAAAAUGGUGGCCUCAUUAUCUGCCUUAGUAAUAGUCACCUGCCUCAUCCUGAAAACAAGGUCCUAUGUGCAGAUAGGUGAUUGGGAUCCAUAUCAGGUCCUUUUCCCUCUCCAAAACUACACCAAGAUAAUUCAUCCUGAACACAUUAUGAAGAAGGAAGGAAGGGAGAGUAGAAGAGAAGGCCUGGGUUUGGGGAUCUUCUGUCUUCUGCAACAUUGGUGCUUGUCCUGAGAAGAUUUAGAAAGAACUCCAGAAGAGAAAAAAAAGAAAGGAUGACUUUACCCACUCUGAAGUUACCCCUUCUCCUGAUGAAUGCUGGUCCCUUUUGUCCUGCCCCUAGUAGAAUUUGGGCAGAAGUUCAGCCAAUUAAGUGCUUUUGACCCUGUGUCAAUCUUGCAGCUGGCACCAUGCCACGGCACACAUUCCUCUGUCCCCAGCCUGCUUGUCUCCCUUACCUACCUUCCUCAUCUUUUUCAAGCAGAAUGGAGACAGUUGGGUGAGGAAUAAGUUCUGGAAAAUAGAAGACCCCUGGGAGAAGUGUAGGGGAGCCCCAUUGUGGGGCUUUCUGCCUGCCUUUCUUUGAGAGAGCUCCUCCACCUUUCUCUUUCAUUUUGUGUUGAAUCCAGUUGAGAUCAUAAGUUUCUUUUUCCCCACCGGCAGCCAGGAAAUGAUUCUCUUCCUAACUAGGUCUGCCUACACCCAGUAAUCUUAUUGAAUUACUCCCUUAGUAAAUCUCCCUCUAUCUUCCUUACAAAAUCUUCCCACAGGUAUGCAGUUAGGGAAGGAAAGGACAGACAAGACCUGACAUUGAUCUUAGUCACACAUCUACGAAUAGAACCUGAGGGAACAGAAUAGUAGCAGGGAGAGCAUGAUUAACAAUUGUUCAAUGGAGAAGUAAAGAGAAAAAAAAGAACAUGAUUACCUCAGUUGAUAUAGAAAAAGGAUGUGACAAAAUUCAGUAUCCUUCCAUAAUAAAACACUCACACAAGUCAGCUACAGUGGCUCACGCUUAUAAUCCUAGCUACGCCAGAGGCUGAGAUCGGUAGGAUCCUGGUUCAAGACCAGCUGGGGCAAAAAAGUUAGUGAAACCCCAUCUCAGUGGCACGUACCAUUCAUCUGAACUAUGGAGGAAAAUGUAAAAAUGUUUGUGCUCCAGGCCAGCCUGUCAUAUACAUGAGAUCCUAUUAGAAAUAUACCUAAAGCAAAAAGGGCUAUAAUCCCAGCACUCAGGAGGCUGAAGGAAAAGGAAUAAAAGUUCAGGGCCAGCCUCAGCUACAUGGAAAGACCGUGUC
Molecule: non-coding RNA, 2769 nt
Organism: Castor canadensis (American beaver)
Lineage: Eukaryota; Metazoa; Chordata; Mammalia; Rodentia; Castoridae
Source: RefSeq, a predicted model, not a curated record